Daphnia magna is the source of this 2454-nucleotide long non-coding RNA. RefSeq lists it as uncharacterized. The record is from RefSeq and is a predicted model, not a curated record. The transcript has 11 exons. Lineage: Eukaryota; Metazoa; Arthropoda; Branchiopoda; Diplostraca; Daphniidae.
AUCGUUUGACAAUUAAUCUAGAAGUGCUGGAAUGCUAUAUCAGCUGUAAAAACUUUUGAGAUUAUAAAUGAUCAUAUUUUGAGAUUAUUUUUUUGUUUAUUUGAAUCUCAAGAGGGAAAUCAAAAGAUUUUGCUAUGAUAAGUAACCAUUUCACUCAUAAGAAGUAAUUUACUUAGAAGUUCCCUGUUACAUUGAAAACAAGAGGAAUAUAGGAAAUCUACGAAUAAUUUUAUCACAUUCUUUUCCAUAUGAAACGAAAGGUCUUUACUAUUUGUUGAAUUUCUCAUUGUCUGUUGUCUACAAGUUAAAUCAGAGGUUCCUACUUGCUUCUGUAAACCAGCCUGUAACCUAAAAGGUAUUUGAUUUGAAGGUAUACUGAUAAUUCAAUUCUCCUAAAUGGAGGAAAAGACCACUCGAAAGAAGAUACUGAAAAUGGAACAUCCUUGUUCAGAUGUUCCAACUUGCCCCUGGAUAGUAGCCAAUAGUCUGAAAAUAGAUAGUCGACCAUAGAAAACUGACUGGUUGUAUAUGGGUGGAAAUCUACUUGACCAUGCAAAAAGUUGACAAAUGUCCUGGUAAUGAGAAAAAAAAACUAAAGAUAUUUAGCAAAUGUGUUUUACUAAGCACUAUUGUGUGAUGUAUUAGAAACUCCUGAAAUAGCAUCAUACAUCUGUGAUUGAAAUCAAUUAACCAAAGUAAUGAUGAAUCAACUGGGAAAAGUAUUCAUCCUGAAACUGAUUCAACUAAACAUAGGUAGCUGAAGUACUGAACAAGGAUGGACGAUGGUCCUGAAGGAAACCAUACAAAACUUUUGGCAAUUUACAGGUUGAUAGCUUCUUAUGAAUUACUAUAUGUUGACAUUUAUUUAAAAAAACAGCAACAGACUGCCUAUUAUGGAGAUUAAUGAAAAAUUUUCUGUUGCAAAAGUGUCUAAAUCUAGAAAUCUUUGUUUUCUGGAUGUCUAUGCAAGUUCAAUGCUUUUUUAAUCUGACAUUGUGGAAGAAACUACUGCUGCUGAUGAAUAGUGCCAUUGAAUAUAGUCGCAUCAUUGAUUAGUUAGUUAACCUCCACCGGAACUGUUAUCUUGUUGACUUCCAUUGAUUCUAUUUGCCGAAAUAGUAGAUCUGGUGGGAUUAAGAGGAAAACGACAAUGUUGGAGAUCUCGUAUUCCAGAAAAUAUUAUAAAUUCGGGUCUCUGAAAAGUACAGCUAGUGAGCACCUUCCCAUUGAAUUUCGUGUAUCAAACAGUUGGAAGUUACCAGAUUUUUUUAAUCGUUCUGUAGUCAGAAGUAUGAGAGCCCGAAAAGAGUGGCAACCCUGUUUCGUACAGAGAACAAGGAAUUAAGGUGUUCCAGUUUGAAAUUGUGAAAGUUUAUUGUCUUGUUGGAUGCCUAUGUUUCAAACCAAAUGUAUCUGCUUGACAAGUGAAUAUUAUACUGAACCCUUCAGUUGAUGUUCUACUGCCCAACAUGCAUGGGAAGUAUUAGUUUCUCAGUUUAACCAAAUGAUUGCUCAGUUGUUGUUUGCAACUGAGGCUUUUUUUUUUUUACCCUUUAGGAAAUGCUUACAAGAUGUGUUAUCGACCGUAUAUCUUAUACAAUAAGAAGAUUUGCAAUUACUGUGGCCUGGCGAAAGUAAUUGGGAAGUAUGCUCCAUAAAGAACUUAUGUCAUGUAAGAUUAAUCAGCAAUAAUUUGGUAAUAACUUCUCUCUGUUGUCUUCGUCCCCCAGGAAGGUUUUUUUGUACGACGUCCAGUAUUAGCUGUUCACAAAAUAGAUUGAUUCCAACAAGAUGGCUAUUGCAAAACGGGAUUUUUUUUUCUUUUAAAUGGAGAGUUCUAGCUAUCUUGGAAAGACUAUCAAAGAAGCCAUUAUGCAGCAUUCGUGCUAUGCUUUGUUCAACGCAUUUGGAAACGAAUUUUGUGAUGACUAAUACAACAAUUAACAAGAGUUCAUAGGGUCGUAAUGAAGCUCGGAAAUGAUUUUAAUGGAUCUUUGGGGCCAAAAUAAUGGAUAGGAGUUGGAGGGACGACCGAAAAUAUCCUUGUAUUUAUUAUUUUCUCUAUUUGUUGUGGUACUGUGGCAGACAUAUUGGAGUUCAUUUGUGGGGUUCCCUAGUUUUCUGUGGCCCUAUUUCCCGUGAUAACACUUGUGAUAAUAAGCCCGUAGCGGGUUAUGGCAACACUAUGAUCAGCACGAGAAGGUUGGGAGUGCGCUGUCUAGAAGGUGAGUGUGGGUCGUUAACUAUGAGAUUAUUGGAGGGCUACGGUGUAACCCGAAAACACAACGGGUAAUCAACCCGUCGAUUAGGUUAAUGGAGGGUUAUGGAGCUAUUCGAAAACAUAACAGGUAAUAUACCCGUCGGGGCAAUUGAGUUGGUGUAACCGUAUGUCUUGCUGGGCUACUAUGUUGUUUGUAAAUGUCUGAUAAACUGCAAUAAAAUAAUUUCAAAAGA